AUCAUUCUUCUACCCGUAAGCAUUUGGAUGUACAGAACGUGUUAUUGGGCCAUGAGGUAAAUGCUCAGUUCUCUGCAGUAAUCUCAGUUGGUUGCCAGCUUGCUUUUUUGAUUUCGUGGAGUAUUUUUGUUUUUUUGGGGCUGCGCUGUAACCCACAGGUCUGUUCAUUGCUGUGCGGUAGAAGUGUCUCAGGUUCAUGCACUCUGCUCUUGGUCUUGCAGGUAUGCGACUGUAUACACCAUGUUCCCCGUGUUCUCCUUAGUGCUGGACCAGGACGUGAAGCCGGAGAUGGCAAUGCUCUACCCGGAGCUGUACAAGGACCUCACCAAGGUACGGGCCUCAGCAGGCGUCUGCCUCACCACGGGCACCCACGCCUGUACAGGGACCUCACCAAAUGAUGGGCCUUAGUGGGCAUCUGCCUUACCAUGGCACGCACGCCUGUACAAGGACUUCAGCAAGGUAUGGGCCUCAGCAGGCGUCUGCCUCAACAUGGGCACCCAGGCCUGGCAUUUUACAUGAGUGCGUAAUAGGCCAGUCAGAGGCAUUUCCAAGCAUUUUGUGAAAAACAAUUCUCUGUCCUUCGAGAUGUUUUUUAUGUCUCCUGAUUUUUUUUGGCAUUUUCCCUUUGAGUUAAAUUUCAAAAGGGGAAAAACAUAUCUGAAAAAAAUUUUCUGAAAUGUUUGCAGUAAAGCUCUGAUUUACACGAAAUUAGAAUUGUAAAGGAUGCUCUAAUCAUUGGUGGAACUUCUGUGAAGUGAGCUCACCAAAUGUCAGAGAAGAGGUCACUUGGUAAUCUCUGUCGAAAGGCUCCCCGGGCAGCCUUGCAGCACCUGCGUGGAAGUAGCGUUCUGAAGCCGGGGGUCCUGGGCUGCAUGCUUCCCGUGUAUUUCCAAAUCUGUCAGUAGUUGUGGACUUCAGAAUUACAUCUGAAAAGCGAUUGACAAUACGCUUGUCCCUGAGAUCCGUAGGCUAUUUUUUCAGUGAUGCCACAAGAAAAAAAUCCAACCCAGAAAACGUCAGUCACCUGAAACUCUGUGAAAGAUGCAUUUAUUUGGCUUAAAACUGUGCUGUGUUAGGAUUAAAAUAUUCUUAAAGGAGGCUUUGAAUU
This is a long non-coding RNA of Sapajus apella (tufted capuchin), 1108 nucleotides long. RefSeq lists it as uncharacterized. The transcript is spliced from 2 exons. The record is from RefSeq and is a predicted model, not a curated record. NCBI's taxonomy places the organism in Eukaryota, Metazoa, Chordata, Mammalia, Primates, Cebidae.